UCAGCAGACCGGGCGGCCGCCCCGCGCUUUUUUCGGGUAUUUUUUGCUUGAAGAAAGCGCGGGGAGGAAAGUCCGGGCUCCAAAGAGCAGCGUAACGGCUAACAGCCGUCCGUCGAAAGACGAGGAUAUCCUGUGCCGCGUAUGGCACAGGACCAUGAACCGAUCUUUAGAUCUGGUUCAUGGCAGAGCCACAGAGACGAGUCCUGAACCACUCACUUUGUUCGGAUUCAGGGCAGGUCCCAUUAUGUAUUGAAAACAGAGGGGCUUGCCCUGUACCCGAAUUCCGCCAAAGGCGGGAUGAGUGGUACAGGGGUGAAACGAGGCAAUCUCUAUGCGGAGCAAGACCAAAUAGAUCCCGAUUCAAGGGCUGCUCGCCCUUACUGUAAAUACAUCAGUAUCGGGACGGGUAAGGUCGCUUGACCCUUGGAGUAAUUCAAGGGCUAGAUAGAUGGCCGCUUCCCCCGCGCUUUUUUCAUAGUAGGAAACUGCUUUAAGAAGGCGCGGGGAAGACUAAACUCGGCUUACAGGUCUGCUGAAAAA
RNAcentral lists this RNase P RNA (540 nucleotides) under Omnitrophica bacterium RIFCSPHIGHO2_02_FULL_46_20. RNAcentral's name for it is "RNase P RNA component class A". It matches the Rfam family "Bacterial RNase P class A". Rfam says of the family: Ribonuclease P (RNase P) is a ubiquitous endoribonuclease, found in archaea, bacteria and eukarya as well as chloroplasts and mitochondria. Its best characterised activity is the generation of mature 5'-ends of tRNAs by cleaving the 5'-leader elements of precursor-tRNAs. Lineage: Bacteria; Pseudomonadati; Candidatus Omnitrophota. The record is from RNAcentral.